GACGAACGCUGGCGGCGUGCCUAAUACAUGCAAGUAGAACGCUGAAGGAGGAGCUUGCUUCUCUGGAUGAGUUGCGAACGGGUGAGUAACGCGUAGGUAACCUGCCUGGUAGCGGGGGAUAACUAUUGGAAACGAUAGCUAAUACCGCAUAAGAGUAGAUGUUGCAUGACAUUUGCUUAAAAGGUGCAAUUGCAUCACUACCAGAUGGACCUGCGUUGUAUUAGCUAGUUGGUGGGGUAACGGCUCACCAAGGCGACGAUACAUAGCCGACCUGAGAGGGUGAUCGGCCACACUGGGACUGAGACACGGCCCAGACUCCUACGGGAGGCAGCAGUAGGGAAUCUUCGGCAAUGGACGGAAGUCUGACCGAGUAACGCCGCGUGAGUGAAGAAGGUUGUCGGAUCGUAAAGCUCUGUUGUAAGAGAAGAACGAGUGUGAGAGUGGAAAGUUCACACUGUGACGGUAUCUUACCAGAAAGGGACGGCUAACUACGUG
This 495-nucleotide ribosomal RNA is filed under the name uncultured bacterium. RNAcentral's name for it is "partial 16S ribosomal RNA". It matches the Rfam family "Bacterial small subunit ribosomal RNA", at positions 28 to 507 of the family's 1533-position model. The record is from RNAcentral.